UUUCGCAAUGCCCGAAAGGGUGACGAAGCGACGCCGUGUGUGGGAGGAAGGCCUUCGGGUUGUAAACCGCUGUUAGGAGUUAAGAAAUGUAAGGAUGCUAAUACCAUCCUUACUUGACAAAAGCUCCAGAGGAAGUCACGGCUAACUCUGUGCCAGCAGCCGCGGUAAUACAGAGGUGGCAAGCGUUGUUCGGAAUCAUUGGGCGUAAAGAGCACGUAGGCGGUUUUGCAAGUCUGGUGUGAAAGCCCCUGGCUCAACCAGGGAACUGCAUCAGAUACUACAAUACUUGAAGACAGUAGGGGAGAGCGGAACUUCUAGUGGAGCGGUGAAAUGCGUAGAUAUUAGAAGGAACGCCGGCGGCGAAAGCGGCUCUCUAAGCUGUAACUGACGCUGAGUGUGCGAAAGCUAGGGGAGCAAACGGGAUUAGAUACCCCGGUAGUCCUAGCCGUAAACGAUGGGCACUAAGUAGAGGGGUUUU
This 478-nucleotide ribosomal RNA is filed under the name uncultured bacterium. RNAcentral describes it as "bacterial SSU rRNA". It matches the Rfam family "Bacterial small subunit ribosomal RNA", at positions 364 to 832 of the family's 1533-position model. The record is from RNAcentral.